Molecule: transfer RNA, 67 nt
Filed under: Panesthia angustipennis cognata
Lineage: Eukaryota; Metazoa; Arthropoda; Insecta; Blattodea; Blaberidae
Description: tRNA-Trp
Source: RNAcentral
AAGACUUUAAGUUAAUAAAACUUUUAUCCUUCAAAGCUAAAAAUAGAGAAAAUAUCUUUAAGUCUUA